RNAcentral lists this unclassified non-coding RNA (269 nucleotides) under plant metagenome. RNAcentral's name for it is "partial contains small subunit ribosomal RNA, internal transcribed spacer 1, and 5.8S ribosomal RNA". The record is from RNAcentral.
UUUCCGUAGGUGAACCUGCGGAAGGAUCAUUACCAAAAAAUAAUCUUUCAACCUCUGAAAGAUCUUUCCUUUGUGCUGGCUUUGACAGUUUUGUACUUUUGGGGCUUUAAAAUCGUUCCGUUAGUAAAAGAAGGAGAGUAAUCCCUUUUUCAUUUCUCCUGCAUCGGCCCCAAAAAAUCUUAUCAUCCUUAUAAUUUUUUCUGCUUAAUUUACAAAUGAUUUUAAUAAUCUGUUUAAAACAACUUUCAACAACGGAUCUCUUGGUUCUC